Molecule: ribosomal RNA, 497 nt
Filed under: uncultured bacterium
Lineage: Bacteria
Description: partial 16S ribosomal RNA
Rfam family: Bacterial small subunit ribosomal RNA
Source: RNAcentral
GAUGAACGCUGGCGGCGUGCCUAAUACAUGCAAGUCGAGCGAACAGACGAGGUUCUUGCUCCUCUGACGUUAGAGGCGGACGGGUGAGUAACAUGUGCUUAACCUACCUAUAAGACUAGUAUAACUUCGGGAAACCGGUGCUAAUACCGGAUAAUAUAUUGAACCGCAUGGUUCAAUAGUGAAAGACGGUUUUGCUGUCCCUUCUAGAUGGAUCCGCGCCGCAUUAGUUAGUUGGUACGGUAACGGCUUACCAAGGCAACGAUGCGUAGCCGACCUGCGAGGGUGAUCGGCCACACUGGAACUGAGCCGCGGUCCAGACUCCUACGGGAGGCAGCAGUAGCGAAGCGUCCGCAAUGGGCGGAAGCUUGACGGAGCAGCGGCGCGUGAGUGAUGAAGGUCUUCGGAUCGUAAAACUCUGUUAUGAGUGAAGAACGAAUGUGUAAGUAACUAUGCACGUCGUGACGGUACCUGCUCAGGAAGCAACGGCUAACUACGUG